Molecule: transfer RNA, 75 nt
Filed under: Betaproteobacteria bacterium
Lineage: Bacteria; Pseudomonadati; Pseudomonadota; Betaproteobacteria
Description: tRNA-Val
Rfam family: tRNA
About the family: Transfer RNA (tRNA) molecules are approximately 80 nucleotides in length. Their secondary structure includes four short double-helical elements and three loops (D, anti-codon, and T loops).
Source: RNAcentral
GGACGCGUAGCUCAGUGGUAGAGCACCGCCCUCACACGGCGGGGGUCCCAAGUUCGAAACUUGGCGCGUCCACCA